RNAcentral lists this ribosomal RNA (865 nucleotides) under Hainanarus longusolanidion. RNAcentral describes it as "partial large subunit ribosomal RNA". It matches the Rfam family "Eukaryotic large subunit ribosomal RNA", at positions 366 to 944 of the family's 3401-position model. Lineage: Eukaryota; Metazoa; Arthropoda; Arachnida; Trombidiformes; Eriophyidae. The record is from RNAcentral.
AAAUAGAACUUUGCAGAGAGAGUUAACAGGGCGUGAAACCGUUAAUUGGCAAACGAAUCGGAGCCACGAAGUCGUUUCGAUGCUAGUUGGGCUUGGUUCAGCUUGGAAACCAAAAGUUUCCUGGCGUAUUCCUUGUGCAACCAUUGUAAGCGUACACUGCAACCGGUUAGACGGUUGGAGAUGGAACUAGUUGCGUGGAUUAGUAGUAGUGGGCUGCAUUUCGGUGUAGUUUGUUGCUGGGUUCAUGUAAGUGAGCUAUCUCCAAGUACUGACCGGCAAAAUGAAAACCGCCUCUAUGGGCGUUUUACACAAUGCGCUUGGUUAUAUUGUAGCCUACACAUACGACCAUGGGGUUUUAAGCUCGACAUUUUCGAAUUUGGACUGGCCAUCUACUAUGGGGCAACUCUUGGUGUUGGUUUAGCCUCCAUCUAAUCAGGUGUUGACUUGAUUCUAUGUUGUUCGGGUGUGAAACGAUUGGGUUAUAAUAUAAACUAGGUCGCCAUUGAUUGGCAGUGAGUAGGUCGGCUUUCCGAACGACCCGUCUUGAAACACGGACCAAGGAGUCUAAUUAGGUAUCGAGUCGAUCGGUCUUGAAUAGGCCAGACUUGGAACUUCUUCCUAAUUGAAGGCGUAGAGACAUGUGAUCAUGGGGCCAAUACCAGGCCUUAUGCGCAACAUGUGCCUGUUCGUAUAACAAUGUGUAAAAUGUUGAGCGGAGCAAAGAGAUACCUGAUUGGUACCCGAAAGAUGGUGAUGCUUGGGCAAGUUGAAGCCAGAGGAAACUCUGGUGGAGGACUGUAGCGAUUCUGACGUGCAAAUCGAUCGUCAGACCUGAGUAUAGGGGCGAAAGACUAAUCGAACCAUC